This is an RNA transcript of Setaria italica (foxtail millet), 722 nucleotides long. RefSeq lists it as uncharacterized. The transcript has 4 exons. The record is from RefSeq and is a predicted model, not a curated record. NCBI's taxonomy places the organism in Eukaryota, Viridiplantae, Streptophyta, Magnoliopsida, Poales, Poaceae.
UCCCCCACCUCCUCCUCCUCCCAUUCCCCCUCCUCCGAAACCCUAGCCAUGGCGUGGCGAGGCCCCGCUACCCGGGCCGUCCUCGGCGCCGUGCGCCGCCCGGCCGCCGCACCAGCGGCCGCGGCCGCGCGACUCCGCGCCCCGCCCCCGUUCGCGGCCCCGCGCCGCCGCGUCCCGUCCGCCUUCACCACCUCCUCCGCCCCGCUCCCGUCCGCGCGGCCUCUGGCGGCGUUGAUGGGAUCCCCGGUGACGGUGGCGGCGGUGAUGGCGCGCCUCACGGCGCACCCGGGUGCCAGCGCGCGGGCGUGCUGCGAGCUCUCACAGGGAAAUGGAAAAGAUGGGUGAUGCAAGGGAGGCCAUUGUAGAGCCUGCCAAAGGUGCUGAUUUGAAGCAUGUACACUUUUGGUACUUGAAGCUGUUGUGUAGAUUCCAUCCUUUUGAAAGGAUAAAAGAUGUGUCUUUGGAAAGCUAUUCUGGCAUUUCAUCUACUGCAAAGUUAGAAGACUUCACCCAGCAAUGCCUUUCCAGCCUAAGUUAGAAUAGACUGAAAUAAAUUUUAUGCUACACGGCAUGGCGUGUGCCCAUGGACCUAUCUUUUCUUUUUGAUGGUAUGUGAUACCAUUAUUACCGUCUGCUGAGAUUCUUUGGGUGUCAAAUUUUAGUUGACCUGAGUUAAGUGAUAGUGUUACCACUUUUGUACCCUUGCAUGAGGUCUUUGCUUA